RNAcentral lists this ribosomal RNA (398 nucleotides) under uncultured bacterium. Its description in RNAcentral is "partial 16S ribosomal RNA". It matches the Rfam family "Bacterial small subunit ribosomal RNA", at positions 338 to 733 of the family's 1533-position model. The record is from RNAcentral.
CCUACGGGAGGCUGCAGUGAGGAAUAUUGGUCAAUGGGCGAGAGACUGAACCAGCCAAGCCGCGUGAAGGAUGAAGGAACUGUGUAUUGUAAACUUCUUUUAUAUGGGAAUAAAGUGUGGAACGUGUUCCUUUUUGUAUGUACCAUAUGAAUAAGCAUCGGCUAACUCCGUGCCAGCAGCCGCGGUAAUACGGAGGAUGCGAGCGUUAUCCGGAUUUAUUGGGUUUAAAGGGUGCGUAGGUGGUUCAUUAAGUCAGCGGUGAAAGUUUGUGGCUCAACCAUAAAAUUGCCGUUGAAACUGGUUGUCUUGAGUAGAUUUGAGGUAGGCGGAAUGCGUGGUGUAGCGGUGAAAUGCAUAGAUAUCACGCAGAACUCCGAUUGCGAAGGCAGCUUACUAAA